AUCCUGUUGAAGAGUCCCGAAUAGGACGAAACGCGCGUCCUGGAU
This 45-nucleotide non-coding RNA is filed under the name Schistosoma mansoni. Lineage: Eukaryota; Metazoa; Platyhelminthes; Trematoda; Strigeidida; Schistosomatidae. The record is from RNAcentral.